UACGGAGGGGGCAAGCGUUGUUCGGAAUUACUGGGCGUAAAGGGCGCGUAGGCGGCAUGACAAGUCACUUGUGAAAUCUCCGGGCUUAACUCGGAACGGUCAAGUGAUACUGUCGCGCUAGAGUGCGGAAGGGGCAAUCAGAAUUCUUGGUGUAGCGGUGAAAUGCGUAGAUAUCAAGAGGAAUACCUGAGGUGAAGACGGGUUGCUAGGCCGACACUGACGCUGAAGCGCGAAAGCCAGGGGAGCAAACGGG
This 253-nucleotide ribosomal RNA is filed under the name uncultured bacterium. RNAcentral's name for it is "partial 16S ribosomal RNA". It matches the Rfam family "Bacterial small subunit ribosomal RNA", at positions 524 to 776 of the family's 1533-position model. The record is from RNAcentral.